CCUACGGGCGGCAGCAGUGGGGAAUAUUGGGCAAUGGGCGCAAGCCUGACCCAGCAACGCCGCGUGAAGGAAGAAGGCUUUCGGGUUGUAACCCUCUUUUGUCAGGGAAGAGUAGAAGACGGUACCUGACGAAUAAGCCACGGCUAACUACGUGCCAGCAGCCGCGGUAAUACGGAGGUGGCAAGCGUUGUCCGGAUUUACUGGGUGGAAAGGGCGUAUAGCCGGGUUGACAAGUCAGUUGUGAAAUCCUGCGGCUUAACCGCAGAACUGCAUUGGAAACUGUUGAUCUGGAGUACUGGAGAGGCAGAUGGAAUUCCUAGUGUAGCGGUGAAAUGCGUAGAUAUUAGGAGGAACACCAGUGGCGAAGGCAGUCUGCUGGACAGCAACUGACGGUGAGGCGCGAAAGCGUGGGGAGCAAACAGGAUUAGAUACCCGGGUAGUC
RNAcentral lists this ribosomal RNA (442 nucleotides) under uncultured bacterium. Its description in RNAcentral is "partial 16S ribosomal RNA". It matches the Rfam family "Bacterial small subunit ribosomal RNA", at positions 338 to 795 of the family's 1533-position model. The record is from RNAcentral.